This 496-nucleotide ribosomal RNA is filed under the name uncultured Streptococcus sp. RNAcentral's name for it is "bacterial SSU rRNA". It matches the Rfam family "Bacterial small subunit ribosomal RNA", at positions 28 to 508 of the family's 1533-position model. The record is from RNAcentral. Lineage: Bacteria; Bacillati; Bacillota; Bacilli; Lactobacillales; Streptococcaceae.
GACGAACGCUGGCGGCGUGCCUAAUACAUGCAAGUAGAACGCUGAAGGAGGAGCUUGCUUCUCCGGAUGAGUUGCGAACGGGUGAGUAACGCGUAGGUACCUGCCUGGUAGCGGGGGAUAACUAUUGGAAACGAUAGCUAAUACCGCAUAAGAGUAGAUGUUGCAUGACAUUUGCUUAAAAGGUGCAAAUGCAUCACUACCAGAUGGACCUGCGUUGUAUUAGCUAGUUGGUGGGGUAACGGCUCACCAAGGCGACGAUACAUAGCCGACCUGAGAGGGUGAUCGGCCACACUGGGACUGAGACACGGCCCAGACUCCUACGGGAGGCAGCAGUAGGGAAUCUUCGGCAAUGGACGGAAGUCUGACCGAGCAACGCCGCGUGAGUGAAGAAGGUUUUCGGAUCGUAAAGCUCUGUUGUAAGAGAAGAAACGAGUGUGAGAGUGGAAAGUUCACACUGUGACGGUAUCUUACCAGAAAGGGACGGCUAACUACGUGC